RNAcentral lists this ribosomal RNA (495 nucleotides) under uncultured bacterium. Its description in RNAcentral is "partial 16S ribosomal RNA". It matches the Rfam family "Bacterial small subunit ribosomal RNA", at positions 28 to 507 of the family's 1533-position model. The record is from RNAcentral.
GACGAACGCUGGCGGCGUGCCUAAUACAUGCAAGUAGAACGCUGAAGGAGGAGCUUGCUUCUCCGGAUGAGUUGCGAACGGGUGAGUAACGCGUAGGUAACCUGCCUGGUAGCGGGGGAUAACUAUUGGAAACGAUAGCUAAUACCGCAUAAGAGUAGAUGUCGCAUGACAUUUGCUUAAAAGGUGCAACUGCACCACUACCAGAUGGACCUGCGUUGUAUUAGCUAGUUGGUGAGGUAACGGCUCACCAAGGCAACGAUACAUAGCCGACCGGAGAGGGUGAGCGGCCAGACUGGGACUGAGACACGGCCCAGACGCCUGCGGGAGGCAGCAGUAGGGAAUCUUCGGCAAUGGACGGGAGUCUGACCGAGCAACGCCGCGUGAGUGAAGAAGGGUGUCGGAUCGUAAAGCUCUGUUGUAAGAGAAGAACGAGUGUGAGAGUGGAAAGUUCACACUGUGACGGUAUCUUACCAGAAAGGGACGGCUAACUACGUG